This 292-nucleotide ribosomal RNA is filed under the name uncultured bacterium. Its description in RNAcentral is "partial 16S ribosomal RNA". The record is from RNAcentral.
GGACUACAAGGGUAUCUAAUCCUGUUCGCUCCCCACGCUUUCGCUCCUCAGCGUCAGUUACUGCCCAGAGACCCGCCUUCGCCACCGGUGUUCCUCCUGAUAUCUGCGCAUUCCACCGCUACACCAGGAAUUCCAGUCUCCCCUGCAGUACUCCAGUCUGCCCGUAUCGCCCGCACGCCCCCAGUUAAGCCAGGGAAUUUCACGAACAACGCGACAAACCACCUACGAGCUCUUUACGCCCAGUAAUUCCGGACAACGCUCGCACCCUACGUAUUACCGCGGCUGCUGGCAC